GCAUAUCAAUAAGCGGAGGAAAAGAAACCAACAGGGAUUGCCUUAGUAACGGCGAAGUGAAGCGGCAAUAGCUCAAAUUUGAAAUCUGGCGCUUGCGUCCGAAGUUGUAAUUUGCAGAAGGAUGAUUUUGGUUAGGUACCUUCCGAGUUCCUUGGAACAGGACGCCUUAGAGGGUGAGAGCCCCGUACGGUUGGAUGCCGAGCCUUUGUAAAUCUCCUUCGACGAGUCGAGUAGUUUGGGAAUGCUGCUCUAAAUGGGAGGUAAAUUUCUUCUAAAGCUAAAUACCGGCCAGAGACCGAUAGCGCACAAGUAGAGUGAUCGAAAGAUGAAAAGCACUUUGAAAAGAGGGUUAAAUAGCACGUGAAAUUGUUGAAAGGGAAGGAUUUAUGACCAGACUUUUUCUAGGAGGAUCAUCCGGUGUUCUCACCGGUGCACUUCUUCUAGUCUAGGCCAGCAUCGACUUUCGGCGGUGGAUAAAAGCUUUGGGAAUGUGACUCCUUUCGGGGAGUGUUAUAGCCUAUUGUAUAAUACACUGCUGGGGGUCGAGGUACGCGCUUCUGCAAGGAUGCUGGCGUAAUGGUUAUCAAUCACCCGUCUUGAAACACGGACCAAGGAGUCGAACAUUUGUGCAAGUGUUUGGGUGUUAAACCCUCACGCGUAAUGAAAGUGAACGGAGGUGAGAGCCCUUACGGGUGCAUCAUCGACCGAUCCUGAUGUUUUCGGAUGGAUUUGAGUAAGAGCAUAACUGUUCGGACCCGAAAGAUGGUGAACUAUGCGUGGAUAGGGUGAAGCCAGAGGAAACUCUGGUGGAGGCUCGCAGCGGUUCUGACGUGCAAAUCGAUCGUCAAAUCUGCGCAUGGGGGGCGAAAGACUAAUCGAACCAUCUAGUAGCUGGUUACCGCCGA
Molecule: ribosomal RNA, 905 nt
Filed under: Monochaetia rosenwaldii
Lineage: Eukaryota; Fungi; Ascomycota; Sordariomycetes; Amphisphaeriales; Sporocadaceae
Description: LSU rRNA
Rfam family: Eukaryotic large subunit ribosomal RNA
Source: RNAcentral